Molecule: ribosomal RNA, 423 nt
Filed under: Microtrichalus sp. BM0179
Lineage: Eukaryota; Metazoa; Arthropoda; Insecta; Coleoptera; Lycidae
Description: SSU rRNA
Rfam family: Eukaryotic small subunit ribosomal RNA
Source: RNAcentral
GGACCGUCGCAAGACGGACUUAAGCGAAAGCAUUUGCCAAAAACGNUUUCAUCGAUCAAGAACGAAAGUUAGAGGUUCGAAGGCGAUCAGAUACCGCCCUAGUUCUAACCAUAAACUAUGCCAGCUAGCGAUCCGCCGAAGUUACUUCUAUGACUCGGCGGGCAGCUUCCGGGAAACCAAAGCUUUCGGGUUCCGGGGGAAGUAUGGUUGCAAAGCUGAAACUUAAAGGAAUUGACGGAAGGGCACCACCAGGAGUGGAGCCUGCGGCUUAAUUUGACUCAACACGGGAAACCUCACCAGGCCCGGACACCGGAAGGAUUGACAGAUUGAGAGCUCUUUCUUGAUUCGGUGGGUGGUGGUGCAUGGCCGUUCUUAGUUGGUGGAGCGAUUUGUCUGGUUAAUUCCGAUAACGAACGAGACUCA